CUGUCUGGCUGAGUUUUGAUUAAGUUAUUCCCAAGCCAUAUUUUGCUAUCUGAAGAUGGACAUUAGCAAACUAAUGCUUAAUACUCAUUGUCUUCUCAUGUACUCUUCAGAAGCUUUACUCUGCUUUUAGAGCUAUCUUGAUAUACAAGUGAAAUUGAAUGUGAAAUAUAAUAUCAAAUUUUUCUGGAUCUUAUGUGACUGUUUCAUUGGGGAACAAGUUUUCUUUAGCAUAGAACAGCAGAUCACUCCAAAACAACCCUAUUCUCUGGGCCUUUCCUAUUUUCUGGAGCACACUUCAGGAAGGUCUCCCUAGCCUCAUCUACCUACUCUCUGUUUCUUUGAUUAUAGAACAAUUCCAAACUGAGAGCAUUUAGCGUCCAUCCCCUUUAAAGAUCCAUCACUUUUAAAACUGAUAAGAGAUAUGCAUACACAAACA
Molecule: long non-coding RNA, 436 nt
Filed under: Bos taurus (domestic cattle)
Lineage: Eukaryota; Metazoa; Chordata; Mammalia; Artiodactyla; Bovidae
Description: long non-coding RNA NONBTAT018665
Source: RNAcentral